Molecule: long non-coding RNA, 1117 nt
Filed under: Amborella trichopoda
Lineage: Eukaryota; Viridiplantae; Streptophyta; Magnoliopsida; Amborellales; Amborellaceae
Description: long non-coding RNA (ATRI_LNC002932)
Source: RNAcentral
GAAAAGAUACAAAUACAAAAACAUGUCGCAUGGUACAUGUAACCAAUAACCCAUAUAAUAAGAUAUCUAUUGCAGUUAAAAUUGAUUAUAAUGUUGGUAUUAUUUAUUUUUUAUUUAUUUCAUGAUAGUGAAGGCCCUCUCUCCUUCUCCCUGUUUUGUUUUUCAAAUUAGGUUUGGAUUUUGAAAAUCACCAACAAGUACAGAUAGAAAUAAAAGGUAGAAAGAAACUAUAAAUGAAUAAAGAAAAAUGGAGAAGGAUUUUUUUCUUUUUAUAUUUAUUAAUUUAAAUUAUUUUUAUUUACCAAUGUAGCUUGCAUUUUGGGUAACUAUUUUUUUGAAAGCAAUUAUAUUUCUAAAAUUUGCAAUUGUGGUUAAUUAUUAUUUUGCUCGUCCUUUUCUUCUUUGUAUUUACAAUUUAUUAACAUAAAUUUAAAUAUCUUGAUUAUAUUAAUAAAUAUAUUAUUACUUAUAAAUAAGUAUUAAAAGAAAAACAGAAAAGGAAUAAUGUCUUUGUUUUUUCCAUUUAUCAAUAUAAGUAUUAUCGGUUAAUUAAUUUUCUAUUUUUUUUUUUGCAUUCUUAAGUAAAAAUAAUUCAUAUUACAUAAUUUCUAUUACCUCAAAAGCAGACUCUCUUCCCAGAUUGACCACUGAAUGUCCAAUCCAAUCAAGAGGUGAAUAUGUUUUGAAGUCUUUCAAGUUUUAUAAAAUCCUUCGGUAUGAGAAUUGGUCAGAGGUGGCCACCAUUUUGUUUGGGAUUUAAGGAGCGUACUGCGGCCUCCUCGCGAUCCACACUAACAAAAGCAAAAUACAGGAAUUAAUUUUUGGGGUUGUGUAGAUGGUCAAAAUUACUUGGAACCACUCGAUGUGAAAUUUGAUAGUUUGGAUGUACUAUAAAGUUCAAAAAAAUUUAUUUUGAAGGUUGAGCUUAAUCAAUGAAAUAAUUGCAGCCACUAAAUUUCACAUCUAAUAUCUAAUGGUCAAGAUUAAUGUAAUCACAUUGUACUAAAGGUAGGUAGUCUCAUUUUAUACUUUUCAAUUUUUUUAAAUUUUUUUCAAGAAUACCCCAAUUUUGUAUUCUCUAGGCAUCCUCGACAAUACUUUUGAGUUUGGAUAAAAG